Molecule: long non-coding RNA, 837 nt
Organism: Solanum stenotomum
Lineage: Eukaryota; Viridiplantae; Streptophyta; Magnoliopsida; Solanales; Solanaceae
Exons: 5
Source: RefSeq, a predicted model, not a curated record
UUAGGGUAUUAUUGUCAUUUCACUCUUUAGUUUCUUUCUGGCUUUAACACGCUUCCUCAAAUUUUAUCCCAAAGAAAACUGCAACUCCGUUGUUUCCAACAGAAAACCACAACUUCCAUCUUCCUCUACCUCAGUUGCUUGCAAGAUUUCAUAGUUGUCUCAAAGUUCUUGUGCGCUUUCUCUGUUCUUCUUCGAUUGCAGAGGUUGUUUCUACUUUAUUAGAUGACACGUUCAGAGCAAAAGAACAAAUGCCCAUCAUUCUCUAAUACAACCGCUGAAAUGAGAUUCAAUCGGCGCAAAAAAUAUAAAGAAAUAUUGCUAGCUCAAAAAGAGGCAUUACUAUUACAAAGGCGCACAAGAGACCUCGAGUCAAGAAGACGUCUUCUACAAGUUCCUGUCAUGAUAAGAGAGCCUUAUGUUACGUCAACAAAAGUUGUUACAUCUGAAGUUCAUAUUUCAGCUGCCACUUCUCCAAAAGGGAAAAGUUUGUUUCAUCCUUCCCGUGUCUUUGAAACAGGCGAGUAUAACAAUCAUAUUAUUUUUGUUAGCUUUCGGCAGCCAUAUGGUAUUUGCUUCUUUAAUUCAUAACUACUUCUAUAUUAGGAUCCACAUCAGCUACAUCUCCUGAUCCCUGUACUGUUACCACGAUCAAUAUAUCAAAUAGAGGUUAGUCCCUGCAACGGGAAAGGGAAAAAACUUACAACUAUACGCAAUUUACUGAACUGUUGUCUUCAAAUUACAUCACUUGACUAUAAGCAAAGCUAGCACAUUUUGCAGUCCUCUUUAAUAAGGCCAGGCAGGUUCUUCAAAAAAAAUAGGUAUCCAUAAUUAAACACA